Molecule: long non-coding RNA, 3750 nt
Organism: Myotis brandtii (Brandt's bat)
Lineage: Eukaryota; Metazoa; Chordata; Mammalia; Chiroptera; Vespertilionidae
Exons: 3
Source: RefSeq, a predicted model, not a curated record
GCGCCGCCCUCGGCACGGAGCCUCGGGCUCCUCAGGUGCCACUCAGGUCUGUGCAGACGCGGCCCUCGAGCCGGGCGGACUGGCUUUGUCUCUGUCGACUAUUGCAAUAGAAAUCCGAUCGGAUACGACGACUUGCACGUACUUUAAUAGCAUCAUAACUAGAACUGAAUUUUGUCUUUAUUAUUUUUAAAGGAAAGUUUUGUAAAUUUCUCUAUCGCCUCAGUUUACAUUUUGUAUAUUUGUAUUUAAAUGAAAGUCAGACUUUGAGGGUGUAUAUUUUCUGUGCAGCCACUGUUAAGCCAUGUGUUUUCAGACAUUUUAGAGGGGGAGGGGUGGGGGGGGAAUUUACCAAAAAAAAAAUGUGACUCAAGACUUCCACAGCCUCAAAUGAGAAAACGUUUUUAUUAAAGGUAGAAAACGAUUCACGUUUCACCUCGAGAGGGUCGGUUGCAUCCAUCUCUCUAACCUUUGCCGGGCGUUGACAUCGCCCGCUGGUCAUUUGGAAGAAUCGGAAUUAAAUGCUCAGAGACGCACCUGGGACUUCACCCCCGGCCCGGACGCCCUGUGCGGGGCCUGUGGAGUGGCCUGGGGCCAGCUCCGUGGGAUCCACACGUCUCCUCGUUGCCUUGGCCCCGGCCCCCUCUUCCUCCUGCGAGACGGCCGUGUGUCGCGCCAGAGCCGGCGCCUUCAGCAUCUUCUCUGGGCCCCUUUCUUUCUAAGCAGGUUCGGACUGUAAAGCCAGUGCGUCUUCAAGAGGCGUGUGUCUGGGGAUUUUUGUUUUAUUCUAAGAGAAGCAUAGCGAUGAUAAGGAGUAAUCAUGGAGCCCCCUGUGUCCCAAACUUUUAUGGCCCAAGGGGGGUCACUGGGUCACCUGAAUAAGUCUUGAGAGGGGAGGGGCUUGCCAGGGACUCCGGGCACAAUCCUUAAGUCAUAGGGGUCAUAGGGUCUCGAGAGCUGCCCGGGACCCCACAGAUGCGUGGGCCCAGGUGGUACGGACAGCGUUGGCUCUCCAAGCAAAUGGCUGCCCAAGGAGAGGCCGGGCCACCGAAGAAGCUCAAGUCAAGCUCAUGGUCACCUCCUGGGAGAGGGGGCGCAGGGGCCAGCUCUAACCUGGGACCACAAAGUUCCAGGCACAUGUGGCCCCAGGAGGCAGUGCCUGGCCUUUAGAGCAUGGCCGUCGGUCCUAGGGAGCCGCUGGACCCCUGCUGUCUCCAGAAGGUGACAGGAGCAAUUCCUCCUCGCCACGCCCUCACAGGGUGAGCUCUGCAGCUCCCCUGCUCCCCUGCUCCCUGGCUGAGUCCCCGGGGACCCUGUCGGCCUCAGUGGGACCUGGCCCAGCCCAGGCAACUACAGGGUUUCUCCGGGUCUGGGCCCUGCACCGGCAUCUCCUGUAAAAUGCAGGUUCCAGGCUCCACCCUAAACCUAGAGAUCUGCAGCGUUCCGAGGCUCUGCCGGUCCCGCUGACGCCCCGCGGGUGUGAGAGCCACGCCGUCGGUGGGUCUCAGGUGUGAUCAUGCCAACAUCGCUCAGGGGCCCCAGGCAGCCUUGGGGUAUGAGCGUUAGGGGGAAGUGGCGAGCAUGUCAGCCAGUCUCCAGGCUCUUUCCCGAAGCCUUGCCCAUGGUCCUGGGGCCGCUGCUCGAGAGGGGCCUGACCUUGGGACGGGCAUUUUGAGGUCAUUUUACAAACAAAUGGGAGAGAAGAAACAGUGGGCUUCCCGCCGAUCCCUUCAAUGUGCCGUGUUGUUUCUUCAAGACCUGCUCUUGUCUCAAGAGGCUGCCCCACUUCCCUCCGUGGGCUGGAGACAAGGCAAAUGCAGAGCUACGUUCAGUUUUGCCAGGAAGCGGACACUCUUCGGCCCGUACGUCAAGGUCCCCGAGCUCUUGCUGGCCGUCCUUUCUUCAUGACGAGGACAGUCACCAGCCACCGCGUUCAUUUCUUUCCCCCAAUUCUCAGGACCCAGCCCUUAGCACACGGACUGGCGCUGAGAAGGCAGCCUGUCUUCAUACCUGAGCCCACGCGCUGUCCGUCUGUCGUGGGGAGUCCUCCAGGGGUGAGACACAGAUCUGCGUGGCCAGAGCUCAGACCACGAAGCGCAGGUCCCUGGUGGCUCAGGCAGCGGGAGCCUGUCCCCAGAGCGCCCACGGACACAGGUCGGGGCCGCCGGCCUUCUCUCCCUUGGGGCCCUUGGCUCCCCCAGAGAAGGGAAGCGAAUUCAGGGCCUGACAACCGGCCUCCUCCCACCGAGCCCAGUCCCCAAGGGCCCUUCCUGUCCCUGACCCUCCCCGCUCUGCCACCCCUUCUACCCCCACUUGUUUUCUAUAGCAGCAUUUUUUAAAAAGGUGUUUUUUAAUUUAAAAAAACAACAAAACACAACACCUUCCCACCCACCCACCUGUCCGGGACGAGGCGUAGCUGGACGGUGAGUGGGUUUAAUCUUUUCUACAGCCUCUGAGCUCCCUCAGAAGAGCUGUUCUUCCUCCAAGCGUGACAUUUCCUCACCUGAGUCCUCGGACGUCGUGCCUUCGAGGAGAGACGGGGUCUUUGCAGAGGCAUCUCUGCUCCCCGUUUUCAGGAGAGGAGCUGCUGUCCCCGAUGGGAUGGGAGAUGAGUGCUCACCCUCCCCUACCCCCCAGCUCUCGUGGCAUCACGGGGUGUCACGGGACCCGGCCACCCUCGCAGAGGAGGCCCCGCAGCCCACAUCAGCUCCCCUUCCGAGGCCGGAGCGUCACUUCCAAAGCCGCGAGCUUUGGGCGGCUCCCUGACCCCAUGGCUCAGGGUGGCCAUGUCCCCAGCUGCCAGGCCGGUUUGCUUGUUUCCUCAAAAGCUGCUCUCACAGAGGGGACACCGGGCCUGGGGGGUGGGGGGGAGGCCACACCGCGCAGAAGACAGCAGCGUGGCCCGGCUCUAGGCACACGCGGCCCGCCGGGACACGAGGCGUGAGGUCUGGGGACAUGCGUGGCGUGGAUGGCACCAGUGGGGGGAACGUGGCCUCUCCAGGGGGAACCUCGGCCACGGACGAGCAGGAGUCCCCCGAGGUGAAGCGGAGCCCGGCCGGCAUCGCUGUCCUCUCAGCUGCAUGUGCUCUGUCCCCGCGAACUGGCACCUUCCGAGGGCGCCUCUCCCAUUCUCAGGCCCCACCCUCCGGCCGAGGCAGGGCCUCCUCGCCUUCGAGCCCCUGUUGCCGAGAGACGGUGUGAAAUGGGUGCGUUUUGAAGUUUUGAAGCUCGGAGCUGUGAGUGGGGAAGGCGGAGAGCUCACUCCUCUCUGAACCGAGCGGCGGCUUUGGACGGGGGCCCACGGGACAGACCCUGCUCGGCCGCGUGCUGGUCUGGUCUGACCUUCGAGGCUUGCGCUGCAGACAGUGGUCAAACCGGAAAGGCUGGCUCUCCCUCGAGGCGAAGGCAGUUCCUGAGAAGAAUCUAGAUGCCUUUCCGGCCAUCGCCAUCGAUAAGGCAUGUUGUAAUAGACCAAACGCAAAUGUGCUCCAUUUGGAAGGGCUCAGUGGCUGUUGGUGGUGGUAGAAUAAUAACCCUAGUAGCCAAAGGACCUACUUUCUUCAGGGACAUGUAAUGGGGGUGAGUGACAGCGGUUCCCUUUCGGGGGUCGUUCCCUUUCCGGGGUCGUGGCUGGGAUGAUGGCUGGGCUCUGCUGCGCUGGGUCUGUGUCCGUGGAACACGUCGCAGUGCUGCUGUGUCCAGAUCAAACCACUGUCGUUUUUUUAAGAGAAAUAAAGUCCUUAAUGAAAAGAA